AUUGAACGCUGGCGGCAGUCCUAACACAUGCACGUCGAGCGUAUGAAGGGUGCUUGCUUCUGGAUUCAGCGGCGGACGGGUGUGUAAUGCCUAGGAAUCUGCCUGGCAGUGGGGGAUAACUUCCGCGAACGGGUUCUCAUACCGCAUACGCGCGGUGGCAGAUAGUGUGUGGUUCUCUGAGCGCACGCUAGUAGACGAGCCUAGGUCGGAUUAGCUAGUUGGUGGGGCAAAGGCCUACCACGGCGACGAUCCGUAACUGGUCUGAGAGGAUGAUCAGUCACACUGGAACUGAGACACGGUCCAGACUCCUACGGGAGGGAGCAGUGGGGAAUAUUGGACACUGGGCGAAAGCCUGAUCCAGCCAUGCCGCGUGUGUGAAGAAGGUCUUCGGAUUGUAAAGCCCUUUCAGUUGGGAGGAAGGGCAGUAAGUUAAUACCUUGCUGUUUUGACGUUACCCACAGAAUAAGCACCGGCUAACUUCGUG
This 484-nucleotide ribosomal RNA is filed under the name uncultured bacterium. Its description in RNAcentral is "partial 16S ribosomal RNA". It matches the Rfam family "Bacterial small subunit ribosomal RNA", at positions 30 to 507 of the family's 1533-position model. The record is from RNAcentral.